RNAcentral lists this ribosomal RNA (253 nucleotides) under uncultured bacterium. RNAcentral describes it as "partial 16S ribosomal RNA". It matches the Rfam family "Bacterial small subunit ribosomal RNA", at positions 524 to 776 of the family's 1533-position model. The record is from RNAcentral.
UACGGGGGGGGCAAGCGUUGUUCGGAAUUACUGGGCGUAAAGGGCUCGUAGGCUGCCAACUAAGUCGGACGUGAAAUCCCUCGGCUUAACCGGGGAACUGCGUCCGAUACUGGAUGGCUUGAGUUUGGGAGAGGGAUGCGGAAUUCCAGGUGUAGCGGUGAAAUGCGUAGAUAUCAAGAGGAACACCUGCGGCGAAGGCGGGUUGCUGGGCCGACACUGACGCUGAGGCGCGAAAGCCAGGGGAGCGAACGGG